This is a non-coding RNA of Podarcis lilfordi (Lilford's wall lizard), 71 nucleotides long. The record is from the annotation of a GenBank genome assembly. Lineage: Eukaryota; Metazoa; Chordata; Lepidosauria; Squamata; Lacertidae.
GGACCAUAGCUCAGUGUCAGAGCAUCAGAUUUGCACGCAGAGGGUCCCAGGUUCGAUACCUGGCAUCUCUG